CAGAGAACUUGCCCUUUGGGUAGAUCUCCCACCCUUUGUUUACUAUACUUUUGUUGCUUUGGCAGGCCCGUCAUGGACCACUGGCUUCGGCUAGUCAGCGCUUGCCAGAGGACCUAAAACUCUUGAUUUUGUGUUGUCUGAGUACUACAGAAUAGUAA
This 158-nucleotide unclassified non-coding RNA is filed under the name uncultured Helotiales. RNAcentral's name for it is "sequence contains ITS1". The record is from RNAcentral. Lineage: Eukaryota; Fungi; Ascomycota; Leotiomycetes; Helotiales.